CCAGACUCCUACGGGAGGCAGCAGUGAGGAAUAUUGGUCAAUGGGCUUACGCCUGAACCAGCCAAGUCGCGUGAGGGAAGACUGCCCUAUGGGUUGUAAACCUCUUUUGUCAGGGAGCAACGCCGGCUACGUGUAGCCGGACUGAGAGUACCUGAAGAAAAAGCAUCGGCUAACUCCGUGCCAGCAGCCGCGGUAAUACGGAGGAUGCGAGCGUUAUCCGGAUUUAUUGGGUUUAAAGGGUGCGUAGGCGGGCUGUAAAGACAGCGGAAAAAGCCGGGGCCACAACCCCGGGGAGCCGUUGAAACUGGCUGUCUUGAGAUGUCGAGAGGUAUGCGGAAUGCGCAGUGUAGCGGUGAAAUGCAUAGAUAUCACGAAGAACUCCGAUUGCGAAGGCAGCAUACCGGCGCUCAACUGACGCUCAUGCACGAAAGUGUGGGUAUCGAACAGGAUUAGAUACCCGCGUA
Molecule: ribosomal RNA, 464 nt
Filed under: uncultured bacterium
Lineage: Bacteria
Description: bacterial SSU rRNA
Rfam family: Bacterial small subunit ribosomal RNA
Source: RNAcentral